This 253-nucleotide ribosomal RNA is filed under the name uncultured bacterium. RNAcentral's name for it is "partial 16S ribosomal RNA". It matches the Rfam family "Bacterial small subunit ribosomal RNA", at positions 524 to 776 of the family's 1533-position model. The record is from RNAcentral.
UACGUAGGGGGCAAGCGUUGUCCGGAAUCAUUGGGCGUAAAGAGCGUGUAGGCGGCUCGAUAAGUCUGCUGUGAAAGCCCAGGGCUCAACCCUGGAAGGCCGGUGGAAACUGUCGGGCUAGAGUCCGGAAGAGGCGAGUGGAAUUCCCGGUGUAGCGGUGAAAUGCGCAGAUAUCGGGAGGAACACCAAUGGCGAAGGCAGCUCGCUGGGACGGUACUGACGCUGAGACGCGAAAGCGUGGGGAGCAAACAGG